GGGAGGGUAACCUGGCUGUGAGAUCUGACGUUCCACUGAUGGCAUGGGUUGAUCUGGCUGAUCUGCCUAGCCUAGGCAGGUGUUCCCUUUCUUCCUUGACAUUCCAUGUGUGCUCCUCUUUGUGAUGUGUGCUUGGUAAAUCAGUAGAGCCUCCCCAAGAGACAUGGUAUUGUUCAUUGGUCAAAGGGGUGUGGUAGCUGUGGUCCCCUGCUGGAAGCCCUCAGUAAGCUCAAGGUCCAUUUGUAGAUAAAUGUAGGGUAAUUAAGCAUCCGAUACUGAAGACACAUUCAAAUGAGAAGCUGCACGCACCAGUCUGCCAGUGGCUUU
This 327-nucleotide small nuclear RNA is filed under the name Serinus canaria (Common canary). RNAcentral describes it as "7SK RNA (ENSSCAG00000000879.1)". It matches the Rfam family "7SK RNA". Rfam says of the family: 7SK was discovered as an abundant small nuclear RNA in the mid-70s but a possible function has only recently been suggested. Two independent studies have found that 7SK RNA binds the CDK9/cyclin T complex (known as elongation factor P-TEFb). Lineage: Eukaryota; Metazoa; Chordata; Aves; Passeriformes; Fringillidae. The record is from Rfam by way of RNAcentral.